UACGUAGGGCGCAAGCGUUGUCCGGAAUUAUAGGGCGUAAAGAGCUCGUAGGCGGUUUGUCGCGUCUGCUGUGAAAGCCCGGGGCUCAACCCCGGGUGUGCAGUGGGUACGGGCAGACUAGAGUGAUGUAGGGGAGACUGGAAUUCCUGGUGUAGCGGUGAAAUGCGCAGAUAUCAGGAGGAACACCGAUGGCGAAGGCAGGUCUCUGGGCAUUUACUGACGCUGAGGAGCGAAAGCAUGGGGAGCGAACAGG
RNAcentral lists this ribosomal RNA (253 nucleotides) under uncultured bacterium. Its description in RNAcentral is "partial 16S ribosomal RNA". It matches the Rfam family "Bacterial small subunit ribosomal RNA", at positions 524 to 776 of the family's 1533-position model. The record is from RNAcentral.